Molecule: long non-coding RNA, 810 nt
Organism: Musca domestica (house fly)
Lineage: Eukaryota; Metazoa; Arthropoda; Insecta; Diptera; Muscidae
Exons: 3
Source: RefSeq, a predicted model, not a curated record
UUGGUUUGACAGCUCAUUGUUCCAGCAGCAGAGUCGAUGCGACUACCUGUAUUAUUUUACCUUGAUGGGUUCUUAAUAAGAAGAUCUCUCUCCUACAGACCUCUAUAAAAUUGUAUUUUAAGAGAAGAGUGUAAACCGUUUUCUCUCUAUUUGCCAUGGUUCUUUCAAUCACCACGACUCAUCUAUCAAAAAUAAAUGUGUUGACAUAAAAUUGUGUUUGAUUUUUAAUAAAUUGAAUAUUUUUCAAAAACUGCAGCAGAUUCAAUCAAAUUCACCAUGAUUCCCGGUGUGUGUUUUUCGGUGUUGACAAAUUGUUUCAUACGAUAAAUGCCAUUUAUCACCCGAAAUUUUAAGACAGCCUCUUCAAGUAGUCUCCACCUCAAUUACGUGCAGCGGCAUGGCUCUCAAAAAAUCAAAGAUGAAAAAUGCAAAUCAUCCAUGGAACACAUUAAUAUUGGAUGAAAGAAACCCCAGGUCUAGCUUGCGUAGUAGGCUUUUGUUUUAAUUUAAUUAGCAUGCAUGACUGAAUGUCUGCCCGACUGCCUGACUUUGCGAAAAAGCCCAAUGACAAAUUACUCCAUUCUACCAAAAUAUAUUUUACGCAUUCAAUCAUGGUUGACACAUCAUCACGAGUUGGCGAGUGAGAGAAGGGAAAUACGAUGCAUAACUGCUGGUGAACGAAGAAGGAAACCGGGGAAAACAGUUUCUAGGGAUAUGUCAGUCGACUUUGGAUAUGGCCAAAUAUAAUACCAUGUUCUCAUUGGCAUGUGAUUAACGACAUCAGUAGUCCUAUUCUGUAACUUUUAUCGA